UAUUUGUAGCACAAGUGGUGGUCAUUAUUAUUGGGCCUAAAGCGUCCGUAGCUGGUUUGUUAGAUGCCUGGGUAAUCGAUGCGCUCAACGCAUCGAACUCCGGGUAGACCGGCAAACUUGGGAUUGGGAGAGAUGUGAGCUACUCGGGGGGUAGGGGUAAAAUCCUGUAAUCCUCCGGGGAGGACCAGUGGCGAAGGCGGCAUCCUGGACCAACACUGACACUGAUGAGCGAAAGCCAGGGGAGCAAACGGG
This 252-nucleotide ribosomal RNA is filed under the name uncultured bacterium. Its description in RNAcentral is "partial 16S ribosomal RNA". It matches the Rfam family "Archaeal small subunit ribosomal RNA", at positions 474 to 727 of the family's 1478-position model. The record is from RNAcentral.